AUUGAACGCUGGCGGCAGGCCUAACACAUGCAAGUCGAGCGGAGCGGCGGACGGGUGAGUAAUGCCUAGGAAUCUGCCUGGUGGUGGGGGAUAAAGUCCGGAAAGGGGCCCUAAUAACACAUACUAGCAGAUCAGCUUAGGUCGGAUUAGAUAGUUGGUGGGGUAAAGGCCUACCAAGGCGACGAUCCGUAACUGGUCUGAGGGGAGGAUCAGUCACACUGGAACUGGGAAACGGUCCAGACUCCUACGGGAGGCAGCAGUGGGGAAUAUUGGAGAAUGGGAGAAAGCCUGAUCCAGCCAUGGCGCGUGUAGGAAGAAGGUCUUCGGAUUGGAAAGCACUUUAAGUUGGGAGGCGUUACCAACAGAAGAAGCACCGGCUAACUUCGUGCCAGCAGCCGCGGUAAUUC
RNAcentral lists this ribosomal RNA (407 nucleotides) under uncultured bacterium. RNAcentral's name for it is "partial 16S ribosomal RNA". It matches the Rfam family "Bacterial small subunit ribosomal RNA", at positions 30 to 526 of the family's 1533-position model. The record is from RNAcentral.